UUCUGUGUAAAGCGGGCAGGGGCUGGGUGGUUUCGGAAGGAAAUGACCUGGAGCGGAGAAUACAGCCUGCGCUACGCGGGACAAACGUAAACACGGGGGGAAGUGUGAGUCAAGCCAGUGAUAGGAAAGCGAUGGGAUUCUCGACCAGAUUCGUGAACUCGCUUUUUCCUGAUUCAUACAAGAUUUCAAGAAGGGAAUGCAUCUACUGGAUACCCAUCAACAUCAAUAAAGUGAUAAAGGGAAA
Molecule: long non-coding RNA, 244 nt
Organism: Eublepharis macularius
Lineage: Eukaryota; Metazoa; Chordata; Lepidosauria; Squamata; Eublepharidae
Exons: 2
Source: RefSeq, a predicted model, not a curated record